GCUGGGUGCAGUGGCACACACCUGUAAUCCCACUGGCUUGGGAGGCUGAGGCAGGAGGAUUUAGAGUUCAAAGCCAGCCUCAGCAAUGGCAAGGCUUGCUAAGCAAAAUCCUUGAGAUCCUGUCUCAA
Molecule: small RNA, 128 nt
Filed under: Marmota monax (woodchuck)
Lineage: Eukaryota; Metazoa; Chordata; Mammalia; Rodentia; Sciuridae
Source: RNAcentral